AACGAACGCUGGCGGCAUGCCUAACACAUGCAAGUCGAACGAGACCUUCGGGUCUAGUGGCGCACGGGUGCGUAACGCGUGGGAACCUGCCCUUAGGUUCGGAAUAACUCCCCGAAAGGGGUGCUAAUACCGGAUAAUGUCUUCGGACCAAAGAUUUAUCGCCUUUGGAUGGGCCCGCGUUGGAUUAGCUAGUUGGUAGGGUAAAAGCCUACCAAGGCGACGAUCCAUAGCUGGUCUGAGAGGAUGAUCAGCCACACUGGGACUGAGACACGGCCCAGACUCCUACGGGAGGCAGCAGGGGGGAAUAUUGGACAAUGGGCGAAAGCCUGAUCCAGCAAUGCCGCGUGAGUGAUGAAGGCCUUAGGGUUGUAAAGCUCUUUUAACCGGGAUGAUAAUGACAGUACCGGGAGAAUAAGCGCCGGCUAACUCCGUG
This 433-nucleotide ribosomal RNA is filed under the name uncultured bacterium. Its description in RNAcentral is "partial 16S ribosomal RNA". It matches the Rfam family "Bacterial small subunit ribosomal RNA", at positions 29 to 507 of the family's 1533-position model. The record is from RNAcentral.